Bombus pyrosoma is the source of this 2020-nucleotide RNA transcript. It is a transcript of the gene named E3 ubiquitin-protein ligase FANCL, with no coding region annotated. The transcript has 7 exons. The record is from RefSeq and is a predicted model, not a curated record. Lineage: Eukaryota; Metazoa; Arthropoda; Insecta; Hymenoptera; Apidae.
GAGUUUACAAUAUUACAAUGUCUAAAAACUUGUAUUUGAAAGUUCAAGAAUGUAAUAUAAAAUAUAAUAUAAAUUAUACGAAACAAUUCUUGAAAUUACAAUCAUAUUACAAACUGUUUAUAAACAUAAAUUCAUCUUAAUUUUUAUAUAUUAAACUAAUAAAUUCAUGCAGUAAAUCAAAAUAAAACUAAUUUUAUGAUUGAUCUGCAGUUCUGUCCGAUGAGGUAAAAUAGUAAACAUAAACAUAAUUUCAUUGCUACGACUGCAACUAUUGGUUACCGACUAAUGACAUUCGAGUUUCACUAUAUAGGCUUACUAUCUAGUUUAAUUUCCAGUUAUACAUUUUAACACAACUGACCAUUGACCGCUAAAUUAGAAUAUUAUAGGUUGUACUAUACUUUAAUCUUGUGAUUUUGUUUAUGUUUGUUGAGUCAACUUGGGUGGAGUAUAAGAUUGUUACAUCAUAUAAUAUAAAAGUGCAUUGGAUAUCAGAUCUAUUUGCAUUUUGUUUGUGAUAUAACAUACUUUUGUGAAGGCGGUAGAUGUCAUACACAAUGUUAUAUCUUAUAAUUUAUAUAGACAAGAAGAAUGAAAAGUAAUAAAUUUGCCAUAAUGAUAAACAACGAUUACAAAUCUAUGAUUCAAUGGCAUCCAGAAAUGAUAUUAAUUUCUAAAAGACCAAUGACAUGGAAAGGAUUUUUAGAAGUUCCAUGCAUUUCAGGACGAAAUAUGCGAAUUAGGCUAAAAUUGAUUGUGCAUAAUUAUCCAUUACUGUCUAAUGCAGAAAUUAAUUUUGGUAAAGAAAUUGCAUUUAUACGAAAUGAAGGAUUUAGUGAUAAAGUGAAAGAUUUAAUGCAUAAUGUCACUAAAGUAUCAACAUUUCUAAAACAAUUACAAUUGCUAAUCUCAAUAUUUUUCAAACAGAGUAGUUUUAUCAACUCUAGUUAUGUUAUUGAAAAUUAUGAAUAUGAUGCAGUAGAUGAUCAAGCAAUCGAAAUGUUAGCAGAAUUAAGAAAUUUACUUCAGAUACCAUCUGGAAUUAAAGUAUCAGCUAAUAAUACGAUGAAUAUAAUUGAAUUAUCUUUGAACAAUGUGGCUGUAAGAUUGCAGAAAACAAGUCAUAGAACGUGUCCAUGGACAGUUGUUUAUUCAGAUUUACCUGAAAUACCUUCUCUUGGGCCCUUUGAAAAGAAUAUAUCAACAUUAAAUAUAGCCAGAAAUAAACUUAGGUUACAAGUAGAAAUGCUUGAGAAAUCAUGGUCAAAUUUGAAGCAAAUUGAUCAGAACUGCUGGGUAAUAGAUCCAUUGCCUCCAAAACCAAGCCAUCUUUAUCGACGGAUUUACUUAACGUCAUCUUUAUCAAUGUUCAUUAAAAUAGAUCCUUUGAAUCAUAUGGAUUUGCCAGAAAUUAAAUUUAUGGGUAGUGAUGCUGAAGUUGAAUCAAUAACAGAACUAGUUUCUAAGAAUUUAUAUAAAUGGGAUCCAAGUUGUGAUAUUAUAAAUAAUUUAAUGAUGUUAUUAGAUAUAGACAUAUUUCCUAAACAGGAAAUGAAGAAGGAAGCUGUCGAAGAUUACAAUGUUGUUGUUGCUGAUGAAGAAUGUUGUAUUUGUUUUUCCCUAAAAUUAGACAAUAUGACUCUGCCUGAUAAGAUUUGUAAUAAUGAGAAAUGUAGGAAACAUUUCCAUACAUCUUGUUUAUUGCAGAUUUUACAUCUAUACCAUGGAGAUUGCAAACAUCUAAAAUAUAAAAUACAAGAAAGUAUUUUUAAUUACAUAAAAAUGUGAUGUUUUUAUAGUAAACAAAAACUUAUUUAAAAAAUUACUUACUUUGCAAUUGUGAUAUGUGCAAUGUACACUUGAAGUUCCAAUAAUCUGAUAAGAUAUUGACUAAAUUUUCCAUUUGGAUAAAUUCUAAUUAAGAAUUCAAUAGAGUCAUCUGUGAAAGAAAUUGGCGUGUAUGGUUUGGCAGCAUCAUGUAAAUGUAAUAUAACAUAUUGUCCCGGAUCAAUUAAUAUACUGU